Molecule: long non-coding RNA, 1249 nt
Filed under: Astyanax mexicanus (Mexican tetra)
Lineage: Eukaryota; Metazoa; Chordata; Actinopteri; Characiformes; Acestrorhamphidae
Description: lncRNA (ENSAMXG00005024039.1)
Source: RNAcentral
GCGGAAACGAGGGAGAGUAAAUAAAGCUGGCCAGAGAAGCUUGGCCGCCCCUUAUUAACAAGGGGAGAAAGAGAAAAUGAAACAAACGGCUUCUCAGAACUGAAAACAGAGUUUUUAAGGUGGCUGUGGACUGAGCUGUGGUUCCACCGGGGGAAAAGGAGGAACGGGGGUUGACAGACAAAAAGCUUCCUGUCUCCCUCACUUCUGCUCCAAACGUCUGCUACCAUCUGUCCUUUUUUUCCAGUCCAGAUUCGAGCCCCUUCGCCAAUCCCACCAGGUUGACUUCUCAAGUCCCCGUUAUUUUUGAAAACACGAGGAACUCUGAGAUUGAAGACGUCUGCAGAUGGCUGGAGAAAAGCACGCAGUGUCCAAGGUGUUUCCAUACUCCAUGCUGUCUGAGUUAUCUCUUCAGCCUCCUCUCGGCCUCCGCAGAUGCUUUCAAUCACACUGUUUACUCUUCAGUCCAAUUAUUUGGGUCUCGAAAAAGCUUUUUCUCAGAUAAACAUUUAACACAUGAGGGGGAAAAAAGGGAAAAGUGCAGAAAAAGUGCUUGGUUUUAGACCUGCGUUCGGGUUCAAACUUCCUCUUCAGGAGCACAAAUAGAGACAGACAGUGUUUUCAGGCCUCUGAAGGGAGGCCUCUAAUGACAUGCAGCCUUGGUGUGAGCUUCCGAGGAUUAGCAAUCUCCUCUUUGAUCCAGACACAAAGAGCUGUGAAUCCUCUGUGAUAGCGGAACUGGUACCUGAUCUCUAGAUUACCACUUUGCAUGUGUUCCCGUCUAUUCCCCAGCUUGCGUUUGGGGUUGCCCGGACAACGUAAGUGAACAUCGGGAAGGUGAGUGUGGAACCAAUUAAUUGACGGAGGCCUUUUGCAACCUGGGGGGACAAAAGGCUACGCUGCGCAGGCUAACGCUGCAGAGUCCCGCCUUUUAUUCUGAUGUAAAUCUCCACUUUUGGGCCACGAACUGCGAAGAACCGAGCAGAUGAGCCACAAGACAACAACCAGGACGCGGCAGAUCGAGACAAAGCGAAGGAAAUGAAGAAAAUCAUCCCGGCCGUUUUUCAAUGAAAGCCACAGAUGCGAGGAGCGGCUAGGCUAAUGAGGCACUUCCAAUGCUUCAGUCAACCCAAUAACAAACAACAGCCACCCUCGUACGAAAACAACAGCGCGGCACAGAGUGAGUCAUUUGGUUAAAUCUCAAAAGACUGGCGGGGAACUCAGCGAUUAGAAUGUAUCUCCACCCUUACAC